RNAcentral lists this ribosomal RNA (116 nucleotides) under Danio rerio (zebrafish). The record is from RNAcentral. Lineage: Eukaryota; Metazoa; Chordata; Actinopteri; Cypriniformes; Danionidae.
AACAGCACAGCGAUCUGCUGAUGUUUAAAAUCCUGUAGUGUGAACUAGGCUUAAGCAGGGCUGCGCUUGGUCAGCACCUGGAUGGGAGACCAUGUGGAAAAGCUAGGUUGCUGCUG